ACGCUCGACACCUACGGGAUCAGCAGUGGGGAAUAUUGCACAAUGGGGGAAACCCUGAUGCAGCGACGCCGCGUGGAGGAAGAAGGUCUUCGGAUUGUAAACUCCUGUUGUUGGGGAAAAAGAGGAUGGUACCCAACAAGGAAGUGACGGCUAACUACGUGCCAGUAGCCGCGGUAAUCUGAGCGGGCUGGCAAGGC
This 197-nucleotide ribosomal RNA is filed under the name uncultured bacterium. RNAcentral describes it as "partial 16S ribosomal RNA". It matches the Rfam family "Bacterial small subunit ribosomal RNA", at positions 326 to 539 of the family's 1533-position model. The record is from RNAcentral.